RNAcentral lists this long non-coding RNA (5402 nucleotides) under Panax ginseng (ginseng). RNAcentral's name for it is "long non-coding RNA (PGIN_LNC013636)". Lineage: Eukaryota; Viridiplantae; Streptophyta; Magnoliopsida; Apiales; Araliaceae. The record is from RNAcentral.
CCUAAUUUUGCUAACGUUAAGGGUACUUUUGAAAAAAAAUUAGUUUAGGGUGAAAAUGAGACAUUCGUGUAAACAUCAGGAGUAUUUUUGGACCUUAUCCCAAUAUAUUUAUAGUCGAAUGUUAAACGAAUACAAAUACGCCUAUAUCUGUAUUCGUAUCCGUUUAUUUGCGAAUACUUUUAAAUCGAAUACAGAUGUAACACUCCCUUCCCGAAAAGGAAAGAGAGGUCACGUACAAAGCACAACAAACCUCAAAAUAAGUAAACAGAGCACUAACAACUUUAAAAUAUUAGUAGUGAUAUCCAUCAAUGAAGUACUAAAUACAAUUCUCCAACUAGAGUCAAAAUAAUCAAAACUAAAAAAAGUUGAAUCAACCUAGAUGGUCAAAGACAACUCUCUCAUCAAACUAGCCCUGAAUCACCCCUGCAAACCUGCUGGAAGAAAAACACAACAUGAGCCAAUUGUCCAGUACGGAUAUAGAUAAUACAAAUAUGUAUAACUGAAAUACAAAAUCAACUGAAGCAAUAUACUUAACAAAGCCUCAAGCUUAAAGACUGACAAAAAUAUGAUAUCCAACGUCUGAAUAGAAUAUAUCCAAAUCAACAGAUUUAACGAGACAAACAGAAGAGUGAAGAAUGAACUGAAGUAACUAACUCAGUUAAUUAAACAGAACAUAAACAAACAAAACUAAUACAAUGAAAUAAUAGGCUGAAUCAUAUAGCUGGGUGAUAUUUCAUACCGAGUGAGCUCAGAAAUAUACAUUGCCACACAGGCAAGUCAAAACAAUGCCACACAGGCAAGCCAAAAUAAUGCCACACAGGCAAAUCACACAUUGGACCGCGAAUCCAAAUGUAUGCAAAUCAGAUAGGUGUGUUUGACACAACAUCACCAAUCCGCAGAACAGAAAACUAGGGUUAACCAAUAUGCCUCCCACAACAAAACACCAAAUGGCACACUUCCUCCGGAACCCAAAACGGAGACGCCAUGGACUAAUCACACCGCCACGAAAAGUGUCAUGCCUCUCGUUCCAAGACGACAUGCCUGUAGUACCCCCACAGGUGGUUAUAACUCAGGUAUACCCUACGAUAUAUUCUAACAAAAAUACUAUGUCACAACACAUGCGACAUAAUACCAACAAAAAUGUUCUAUAUGUACAUGUUAAACCAAAUCAAAUUAUAGUCACAAGGUUUCAAAAAGAAGGUAGCAACAUGUACCACUCUAUAAUUAUCAAAAAUAAAUACUAAACAUGAUAUCCUAAUUCAAAAAGUACAAAUACGAGUCAUGUGUAUCAACUCCAAAAUGAAACUAAUAUAUUUAUUUCACAGGAAACAAUUAUGCGAAAUCAUAACAAAAUUCAAAAUAAAGAAACAAACGAACAAAUCAAAUUUAACAAAAGUAUCGCUGAAAGAGUACGAAAUCCGUACCUGAAUUGAGCAACGUAAUACCCAAAAUUUAUAUUCCAAAUAUAACUCGUUAAGUUCCUUCCGUCCAAACUAAUUACACAAAUUAAUAAUACUAAAUGUAAGUACAUUUAUAAAAAUAUAAACACUUCUAUUUGGUACGACUAUAAAAUAUAAUUACUUAUAAUAUUAAGAUUUAAUUCAUUCCAUAUAAUCUUACAUAUUUAUUUGUAUAACAUCUCUUGCAAAUUUUGUAAGUUUUCGUAAACUUUAAUUACUACUGCUAUAUAUUUUUAUUUAUUUAAAGAAAUCAUCAAUUUAUUAUUUUAGUAUCUCCAAAAUCAAUCACAGACUACUCCCUCCGUUCAAUCUGAUUGAAAUAAAGUGAUAAUAAUAAUAAGUACAUCCGUAUAAGUAUUACAUUAAUAAAUAAACUCUCCCAUCUUUAAAGAUCGCUCAUAGUUCUUGAAUUACAAAAAUAUUUGCUCAUGAUGAAAAAACAACAUACUAAAUUUAAUAAUUUAAUAUGGAACCACAUGAUUUAUCCCCACUUUAUAUAAUGUAUAAUAUACUUACUUGUUACUGAUGAAAUUUCCUCAGUAGUGAUCAAAAUCUCUAGUCUUUCUUCACCCGAGCCCCCUUUGUAGCUGUUCUCUUUAUCUCCAAAGUAGCCACCUCUUCUUAUUCAGUUGUAUAAUGAAGUAAUAUUAAGUUUAGCUAUUUAUUAAUUAAGUUGCCCUAAUAAACUUCUAUUUGGGUUAAAUUAAUAUUAAAGCCCAAAUUUUAACCACAUAAUAUUAUAUAUCACUUAUUAAUAUUUAUUAGCCCACAUAAUUUAAAUAACUACUUUGACCCAAUUUAAAGACAAAAAAAAUUCAAACAAUAUAUUUAAAACACAAACAUAAAUACUUCUUUUUUUCGGGUAUUACAUUACCUCCCCCUUAAAAAAAAUUCCGUCCCCGGAAUCAAAAGAAUGAAAAGUACCUAAUUAUCAAAAAGAUGCGGAUACUCCGCUCGAAUAGACUCCUCAAUCUCCUAAGUAGCUCCGCGCUCCGGAUGAAUAUUUUUUGGAAUAUUCUAAUCAAAUUAGAAUAGAAUUAGUUCAGGGUGAAAAUAGGACAUUCGUGUAAACAUCAGGAGUAUUUUUGGACCUUAUCCCAAUAUAUUUAUAGUCGGAUGUUAAACGAAUACGAAUACACCUAUAUCUGUAUUCGUAUCCGUUUAUUUGCGAAUACUUUUAAACCGAAUACAGAUGUAACACUCCCUUCCCGAAAAGAAAAGAGAGGUCACGUACAAAGCACAACAAACCUCAAAAUAAGUAAACAGAACACUAACAACUUCAAAAUAUUAGUAGUGAUAUCCAUCAAUGAAGUACUAAAUACAAUUCUCUAACUAGAGUCAAAAUAAUCAAAACUAAAAAAAGUUGAAUCAACCUAGAUGGUCAAAGACAACUCUCUCAUCAAACUAGCCCUGAAUCACCCCUGCAAACCUGCUGGAAGAAAAACACAACAUGAGCCAAUUGUCCAGUACGGAUAUAGAUAAUACAAAUAUGUAUAACUGAAAUACAAAAUCAACUGAAGCAAUAUACUUAACAAAGCCUCAAGCUUAAAGACUGACGAAAAUAUGAUAUCCAACGUCUGAAUAGAAUAUAUCCGAAUCAACAGAUUUAACGAGACAAACAGAAGAGUGAAGAAUGAACUGAAGUAACUAACUCAAUUAAUUAAACAGAACAUAAACAAACAAAACUAAUACAAUGAAAUAAUAGGCUGAAUCAAAUAGCUGAGUGAUAUUUCAUACCGAGUGAGCUCAGAAAUAUACAUUGCCACACAGGCAAGUCAAAACAAUGCCACACAGGAUGAAUAUUUUUUUUUCACAAAAUUUUAACAAAUGGGAUUGUCUUCCUCCUCAUAACCCGCUUUUGACAAUCUAAAAUUAUCUCAAGUUGCUUACUUCUUCAAAAUUGUAAAGGACGAAAAACUGAAGGAACCUGAUUUGGAUUCACUCAAUUCCGACAUCAGAUGAAUUAAUUAUAAUUUUUCUAAUGGACUGCAGCACGUAUAAAUAUUCUACUCGAAAAUUCAACUAAUCAAAUUAGAAUAGGAUUAAAGUUAAAACUUCACUCUUUAAAUAUAAAUAUAGCUCAAUAUAGGAGCUACCAAAACUCUAAUGGACUUCCCAUUUUUAAUUUAAUCGAUUAUUUAAUUAUCUACUAAAAUAAUUUAACUUUCCAAACAAAACAAAGAAAAAAAAAUAGUCACUUACCUUUUCCAAUUUGAAUACAAUUGUAUAAAAUAAAAUUAAUUAAUAUUUAAAUUUUAAAAAAAUUUGGGUUAUUACAACAAAUAUAUCCGUUUUUUUCGAAUACGAAUAAUAUCCGCUUUUUUCCGAAUACAAAUGCAAGCAAAUACAAAUUUUUUAGUUACCAUUUACAGCCCUAACUACUACUAUAGUCCUCAAACUUGUUCUCUCUCUUCUAUAACAUCCAAUCUCACUAAAUUGAUAAAACAGGGCAAUUACAAUUGAGAUGAGGGAACAUAAAAGUAAGUCAAGAAGAUAGUGCGGGUGUACAAAAUGAAAAGCCAAGAGGAGCACCAUGCAUGAAAAUUAGAGAAUGACUGGCUUCCACAACCCUUAAUCCCUUAAACUAAGCCAUAGCAAUUGUGUUUCAUUUGUUUUACGAUGCACACCCAUACUCGUAAAGAACUCUAGAUACCGCUACACCGCCUUUGUCAUAACAUUGGACUCAAUUGUGAACCAAUAUUUCAUGCUCAGCAAGUCUAAAAUCUAGUAAGAUCACAAUACUAGAUGAUCUGUUACAUAAAAAAGAUACAGAGAAACUAUGCAUACCAACUAGAAUUUAGUGCCCAAAAUAAGAACAUGCAUUUUAAAAUUUAAAAGUCUCAACAUACAAUUUCUACAUUGGAUGUGAAAAUACUGCAUAUUUUAUUUGGAAUUCGAGAGAAAAUGUGCUAAAGCAGCCAUCUAAAAAUAAGAAACUCUUACAUUUAAUUACGAAAGGAAAGGACUUUCGAAAAGUUGUUGGAUGCUUGAAAAAGAAUCCCAUAAACAUAUAACACAACUAACAGAAAACAUUCAUGAUCCAACUGUAAGGGAACUGUUUAAAAUCCAAAUGAGCAAUCUUUAGCAGUAAUAUACUUCAAGAUAUUGUAUAUCCAUCAAUGUCUACAUUUUUCAUUGCAACCCCUUACUUGUGGCCAAUGUUAACUACCAAACAAAAAUUAAUUUAUAUAUCUAUGCCUAAGCAUGAACAACGAAUGCUAAUACAAAAUAAUUUUGUGCCUGAAAAUUUACAUCCCUAGCAAUGGCAGCUAAAUUUCAUCCUCCUAACACUAAAUUUUCUGUGUUUUAAUGGAAAAGGUAUUCAAUCUAGGAAAUUAUUAACACAGUUUAAAUGCAAAACUGUCCCAUUCUAAACAGCAUAUCAGCAUAACCAGAUCUAAUUUACCAACAAAUAGUAAGAAGAAAAGAGAACAUAUUUCCAGAAAAUAAGGUCCAUGGAUUCCGGAAUCGAAGAAAAAGUACUUGCGCUAAGCAAAAAAAAUAAUACAGAAAACUGAAACAGAGCCUAAAGGCUAGAACAGUACUGAGAGCCUGCAGGAGGGGUAUCGAUGACUAACAGAUAAAUUACUUGGAUCUCUGCCUCAUCUUUCGGCGCUUCCUCUUCAACCUCCUCAUUCUCUUCUUCUUCCACUGCAAAAUCAUAUUCAAUUUCAAACAAUCAAUUUCGUUAUCCAUUUAUGGAAAAUGGUAAAUUCAAGAUAUGAGCUAAAAUCAAUUCAAAAAUGAUAAAUUUAGGUAUCGGAGAUUGAGGAGUUACCUUGGCCCUCAUGGUGAUGAGUUUGGAAUUCUUUUGUCUCUCUUCUCUUCCAAAACCCUAGCAAAACUGGGGAGGAAAUGAGACGGAAGAUAAAUGAGAGUUACGGCUUUGACGUUUAUUUAUAGUGAACAGAACCCUAGCCAAUAAACAGUCCACAUAAAGAG